UACGAAGGGGGCUAUCGUUGUUCGGAAUUACUGGGCGUAAAGCGCACGUAGGCGGAUUAGUAAGUCAAGGGUGAAAUCCCGGGGCUCAACCUCGGAACUGCCUUUGAUACUGCUGAUCUCGAGUCCGGAAGAGGUGAGUGGAAUUCCUAGUGUAGAGGUGAAAUUCGUAGAUAUUAGGAAGAACACCAGUGGCGAAGGCGGCUCACUGGUCCGGUACUGACGCUGAGGUGCGAAAGCGUGGGGAGAAAACAGG
RNAcentral lists this ribosomal RNA (253 nucleotides) under uncultured bacterium. Its description in RNAcentral is "partial 16S ribosomal RNA". It matches the Rfam family "Bacterial small subunit ribosomal RNA", at positions 524 to 776 of the family's 1533-position model. The record is from RNAcentral.